UGGGGAAUAUUGCACAAUGGAGGGAACUCUGAUGCAGCGACGCCGCGUGAACGAAGAAGGCUUUCGAGUCGUAAAGUUCUUUUAUAUGGGAAGAUAAUGACGGUACCAUAAGAAAAAGCCCCGGCUAACUACGUGCCAGCAGCCGCGGUAAUACGUAGGGGGCUAGCGUUGUCCGGAAUCACUGGGCGUAAAGGGUUCGCAGGCGGAAAUGCAAGUCAGGUGUAAAAGGCAGUAGCUUAACUACUGUAAGCAUUUGAAACUGCAUAUCUUGAGAAGAGUAGAGGUAAGUGGAAUUUUUAGUGUAGCGGUGAAAUGAGUAGAUAUUAAAAAGAAUACCGGUGGCGAAGGCGGCUUACUGGGCUCAUUCUGACGCUGAGGAACGAAAGCGUGGGUAGCAAACAGG
This 403-nucleotide ribosomal RNA is filed under the name bacterium. RNAcentral describes it as "partial 16S ribosomal RNA". It matches the Rfam family "Bacterial small subunit ribosomal RNA", at positions 355 to 776 of the family's 1533-position model. The record is from RNAcentral.